Raphidocelis subcapitata is the source of this 81-nucleotide non-coding RNA. Lineage: Eukaryota; Viridiplantae; Chlorophyta; Chlorophyceae; Sphaeropleales; Selenastraceae. The record is from the annotation of a GenBank genome assembly.
GCGGCCGUGGCCGAGUGGUUAAGGCGAUUGAUUAGAAAUCAAUUGGGAGUUCCCGCACAGGUUCGAAUCCUGUCGGCCGCG